Molecule: long non-coding RNA, 808 nt
Filed under: Ananas comosus (pineapple)
Lineage: Eukaryota; Viridiplantae; Streptophyta; Magnoliopsida; Poales; Bromeliaceae
Description: long non-coding RNA (ACOM_LNC011302)
Source: RNAcentral
GUUACAUAUAAAUUUUUGUGAACUCUAGAAUGGGGAUGUACAAGUAGGCUGCGUUUAGUUCGGACAUAAGUAAGAACUGUUUAUUCCAGAGAUAGAUAUAAGUUCAGGUAUAAACAGGAGCUAGACCAAUUUUGCAUUUGAAUGAAAAUUAGGUUGUUCCUAGUAAUAAGCUAAAUAGUGUUUGGAUGAUUAGAUUGAAACAAAGAAAAUAAGAGUUAUGAUUUUAAAUUAAAAUUAUUUUAUCUAACAAAUUAACAUCAAAAUAUUAUUUAAAAAUAAAUUAAUAAAUUUAAUAAUAAAAAUAUAUUAAUUAGUUAAUUAAUUAAUUAUAAAAAAAUAAUUUAAAAUUUUAAUUAGUUAGUAAAUUAUUUUAGUUAGAAAAUUAAUUAGAUUAAUAGAAGUAUUAAUGGUUGUAUUAAAAAAUACAUUAAAUUAUUAAUAAUUAAUUAUAAAUAAUAAGUUAAUUAAUUAUUUUAUUAUUUAAGUAAUAAAUAAUAAUUUAAAUAUAUUAAUUAGAUUAAUUAAUUAUUUAAUACUAUAAUUAAAAUUAUUUUUAGACUUUAAUUAAUCAUGUUCCCAUCUGGAAACAAACUUGUUUCUGGAAAAAUGGUGGAACAAUAGUUCCAGGCUUAUACCAGUUUAUUCCAGAAUUCAAAAAUUACUGUUCUCGAGUACCAAACACAGUGUUUGGAAACAAAAGGGGGAACAAAGGCUUAUUCCCCCCUUUGUUCCCGAACCAAAUGCUGCCGUAAAGUUUUUCUUUUUCUUUUGAAAUGAUUAUUUUGUGGUAAAAACUUUAUAAAGUAUU